AUUGAACGCUGGCGGCAUGCCUUACACAUGCAAGUCGAACGGCAGCACGGGUGCUUGCACCUGGUGGCGAGUGGCGCACGGGUGAGUAAUACAUCGGAACAUGUCCUGUAGUGGGGGAUAGCCCGGCGAAAGCCGGAUUAAUACCGCAUACGAUCUACGGAUGAAAGCGGGGGCCCUUCGGGCCUCGCGCUAUCGGGUUGGCCGAUGGCUGAUUAGCUAGUUGGUGGGGUAAAGGCCUACCAAGGCGACGAUCAGUAGCUGGUCUGAGAGGACGACCAGCCACACUGGAACUGAGACACGGCCCAGACUCCUACGGGAGGCAGCAGUGGGGAAUUUUGGACAAUGGGCGAAAGCCUGAUCCAGCAAUGCCGCGUGUGUGAAGAAGGCCUUCGGGUUGUAAAGCACUUUUGUCCGGAAAGAAAUCCUUGGCCCUAAUACGGUCGGGGGAUGACGGUACCGGAAGAAUAAGCACCGGCUAACUACGUG
RNAcentral lists this ribosomal RNA (486 nucleotides) under uncultured bacterium. RNAcentral's name for it is "partial 16S ribosomal RNA". It matches the Rfam family "Bacterial small subunit ribosomal RNA", at positions 30 to 507 of the family's 1533-position model. The record is from RNAcentral.